AUUGAACGCUGGCGGCAUGCUUUACACAUGCAAGUCGAACGGUAACGGGGACUUCGGUCUGCCGACGAGUGGCGAACGGGUGAGUAAUAUAUCGGAACGUGCCCAGUAAUGGGGGAUAGCUCGGCGAAAGCCGGAUUAAUACCGCAUACGCCCUGAGGGGGAAAGUGGGGGAUCUUCGGACCUCACGUUAUUGGAGCGGCCGAUAUCAGAUUAGCUAGUUGGUGGGGUAAAGGCCUACCAAGGCGACGAUCUGUAGCUGGUCUGAGAGGAUGAUCAGCCACACUGGGACUGAGACACGGCCCAGACUCCUACGGGAGGCAGCAGUAGGGAAUUUUCCGCAAUGGGCGAAAGCCUGACGGAGCAAUACCGCGUGAGGGAUGACGGCCUGUGGGUUGUAAACCUCUUUUCUCAAGGAAGAAGUUCUGACGGUACUUGAGGAAUAAGCAUCGGCUAACUCUGUGCCAGCAGCCGCGGU
RNAcentral lists this ribosomal RNA (475 nucleotides) under uncultured bacterium. RNAcentral describes it as "bacterial SSU rRNA". It matches the Rfam family "Bacterial small subunit ribosomal RNA", at positions 30 to 521 of the family's 1533-position model. The record is from RNAcentral.